CCUACGGGUGGCAGCAGUGGGGAAUAUUGCACAAUGGGGGAAACCCUGAUGCAGCGACGCCGCGUGAGUGAAGAAGUAUCUCGGUACGUAAAGCCCUAUCAGCAGGGAAGAAAAUGAUGGUACCCGACUACGAAGCCGCGGCCAACUACGUGCCAGCAGCCGCGGUAAUACGCAGGGGGCAAGCGUCAUCCGGAUUUACUGGGUGUAAAGGGAGCGUAGACGGCAGGAAAAGUCUGGAGUGAAAUCCCGGGGCUUAACCCCGGAACGGCGUUGAAAACUGUGGGGCUGGGGUGCAGGUGGGUAAGCGGAAUUCGUGGUGUAGCGGUGAAAUGCAUAGAUAUUGGGCAGAACACCGAUGGCGAAGGCAGCUUGCUGGA
RNAcentral lists this ribosomal RNA (377 nucleotides) under uncultured bacterium. RNAcentral's name for it is "partial 16S ribosomal RNA". It matches the Rfam family "Bacterial small subunit ribosomal RNA", at positions 338 to 733 of the family's 1533-position model. The record is from RNAcentral.